This is a non-coding RNA of Mycena metata, 84 nucleotides long. The record is from the annotation of a GenBank genome assembly. Lineage: Eukaryota; Fungi; Basidiomycota; Agaricomycetes; Agaricales; Mycenaceae.
AGCACCGUAGCACAGCUGGAAGUGCGCCGGUCUCAUAAAAUUUGAGGAAUCCGGAGGCCGCUUGAUCGAAACAAGCCGUUGCUA